This 883-nucleotide ribosomal RNA is filed under the name Actinomycetes bacterium. Its description in RNAcentral is "bacterial SSU rRNA". It matches the Rfam family "Bacterial small subunit ribosomal RNA", at positions 61 to 957 of the family's 1533-position model. The record is from RNAcentral. Lineage: Bacteria; Bacillati; Actinomycetota; Actinomycetes.
GUCGAACGAUGAACCACUUCGGUGGGGAUUAGUGGCGAACGGGUGAGUAACACGUGGGCAAUCUGCCCUGCACUCUGGGACAAGCCCUGGAAACGGGGUCUAAUACCGGAUACUGACCAUCUUGGGCAUCUUCGCUGUUCGAAAGCUCCGGCGGUGCAGGAUGAGCCCGCGGCCUAUCAGCUAGUUGGUGAGGUAAUGGCUCACCAAGGCGACGACGGGUAGCCGGCCUGAGAGGGCGACCGGCCACACUGGGACUGAGACACGGCCCAGACUCCUACGGGAGGCAGCAGUGGGGAAUAUUGCACAAUGGGCGAAAGCCUGAUGCAGCGACGCCGCGUGAGGGAUGACGGCCUUCGGGUUGUAAACCUCUUUCAGCAGGGAAGAAGCGAAAGUGACGGUACCUGCAGAAGAAGCGCCGGCUAACUACGUGCCAGCAGCCGCGGUAAUACGUAGGGCGCAAGCGUUGUCCGGAAUUAUUGGGCGUAAAGAGCUCGUAGGCGGCUUGUCACGUCGGUUGUGAAAGCCCGGGGCUUAACCCCGGGUCUGCAGUCGAUACGGGCAGGCUAGAGUUCGGUAGGGGAGAUCGGAAUUCCUGGUGUAGCGGUGAAAUGCGCAGAUAUCAGGAGGAACACCGGUGGCGAAGGCGGAUCUCUGGGCCGAUACUGACGCUGAGGAGCGAAAGCGUGGGGAGCGAACAGGAUUAGAUACCCUGGUAGUCCACGCCGUAAACGGUGGGCACUAGGUGUGGGCAACAUUCCACGUUGUCCGUGCCGCAGCUAACGCAUUAAGUGCCCCGCCUGGGGAGUACGGCCGCAAGGCUAAAACUCAAAGGGAAUUGACGGGGGCCCGCACAAGCGGCGGAGCAUGUGGCUUAAUUCGACGC